UUUUUCAAAACAUGUCCUUUUGCUUAAUUAAUAUAAGGUCUGACCUGCCCAAUGAUUAAUUUAAUUAAAUGGCCGCAGUAUUCUAACUGUGCGAAGGUAGCAUAAUCAUUUGUCCUUUAAUUGGGGACUUGUAUGAAUGGUCUGAUGAGGGAUUUUCUUUCUUUACUUUAUUAUUUAGAAUUUAAUAUAUGAGUCAAAAAGCUUAUAUGAUUUUAUGUGACGAGAAGACCCUAUAGAACUUAACCACUAUUAAUAGUGUAGUGAUAUUGUUUAUUAAUUUUUAACUCUAUUAUUAGAGGUUUUAUUGGGGCGAUAGUUAAAUUUCAUUAACUUUAAUUGAAUUUAAAUCAAUAAUUUUUGAUUAUAUAAUUGAUCCAGUAAUACUGAUUAUAAGACUAAGUUACCUUAGGGAUAACAGCGUAAUUCUGUUGGAGAGUUCAUAUUAAUAAUAGAGUUUGCGACCUCGAUGUUGGAUUAAAAUAAGUAUUAGGUGCAGAAGCUUAAUAACUAAGUCUGUUCGACUUUUAAAUUUUUACAUGUUGGGUUUUCA
Molecule: ribosomal RNA, 550 nt
Filed under: Himacerus dauricus
Lineage: Eukaryota; Metazoa; Arthropoda; Insecta; Hemiptera; Nabidae
Description: partial large subunit ribosomal RNA
Rfam family: Bacterial large subunit ribosomal RNA
Source: RNAcentral